GACCUCCGGCACGUGUGAACAGGUUACACGUGAUGCAGUGUGGUAGUGGAAUAUGCUGCAUCACGUUUGAUCUCCCUACACUGCACUGAGUC
Ornithorhynchus anatinus (platypus) is the source of this 92-nucleotide non-coding RNA. RefSeq annotates it as microRNA mir-1421v. The record is from RefSeq and is marked provisional. The transcript has a single exon. NCBI's taxonomy places the organism in Eukaryota, Metazoa, Chordata, Mammalia, Monotremata, Ornithorhynchidae.